This 41-nucleotide ribosomal RNA is filed under the name Striaticonidium cinctum. Its description in RNAcentral is "partial 18S ribosomal RNA". The record is from RNAcentral. Lineage: Eukaryota; Fungi; Ascomycota; Sordariomycetes; Hypocreales; Stachybotryaceae.
GUAACAAGGUCUCCGUUGGGGAACCAGCGGAGGGAUCAUUA